GGCAGAAAUGCGAUUCUACAUCACGCUCCCGCGUCGAAAGACGUGUGGGUGAGCUCCAACAAUGUAAAUGCAUUUUCUGGCCCG
This 84-nucleotide microRNA precursor is filed under the name Fasciola hepatica (liver fluke). Its description in RNAcentral is "microRNA fhe-mir-277 precursor". Its record names the gene fhe-mir-277. The record is from miRBase by way of RNAcentral. Lineage: Eukaryota; Metazoa; Platyhelminthes; Trematoda; Plagiorchiida; Fasciolidae.